AGUGAACGCUGGCGGUAGGCCUAACACAUGCAAGUCGAACGGCAGCACAGUAAGAGCUUGCUCUUACGGGAGGCGAGUGGCGGACGGGUGAGGCAUACAUCGGAAUCUACUUUUUCGUGGGGGCUAACGUAGGGAAACUUACGCUAAUACCGCAUACGCCCUACGGGUGAAAGCAGGGGAUCUUCGGACCUUGCGCGAUUGAAUGAGACGAUGUCGGAUUAGCUAGUUGGCGGGGUAAAGGCCCACCAAGGCGACGAUCCGUAGCUGGUCUGAGAGGAUGAUCAGCCACACUGGAACUGAGACACGGUCCAGACUCCUACGGGAGGCAGCAGUGGGGAAUAUUGGACCAUGGGCGCAAGCCUGAUCCAGCCAUACCGCGUGGGUGAAGAAGGCCUUCCGGUUGUAAAGCCCUUUUGUUGGGAAAGAAAAGCAGCAGGUUAAUCCCCCGCUGUUCUGACGGUACCCAAAGAAUAAGCACCGGCUAACUUCGUG
This 492-nucleotide ribosomal RNA is filed under the name uncultured bacterium. RNAcentral describes it as "partial 16S ribosomal RNA". It matches the Rfam family "Bacterial small subunit ribosomal RNA", at positions 29 to 507 of the family's 1533-position model. The record is from RNAcentral.